RNAcentral lists this long non-coding RNA (2732 nucleotides) under Prunus dulcis (almond). RNAcentral's name for it is "sRNA ncRNA". The record is from RNAcentral. Lineage: Eukaryota; Viridiplantae; Streptophyta; Magnoliopsida; Rosales; Rosaceae.
CAAUAACCAUUUCUAUUUCAAUUCUGCUUUGGCUCUGUAUAGAUGUAUAGUUCCCUGAGUUUCACACAAAAUAGGUCAAUCACUACUUGCUGAAUCAUAUUUGUAUUUUUUCAUUGUUCGCAUACUGGAUGCUUAUCCUUACAAAUUUAUUGUAUAACAGCUUCAAGCAAUAUCAAGGACCAAGGAAAGAAAUUCAAGAAUGAGGCAGUGCCUUGUUCAACUACCAAUUUCAGGGGUUAAGUAUUGGGUUGUUCAAUUAGUGUAUUCAGAUACCACCCUCUCUUUUUUACAUCGGGAUGCUGAUUGUGUUUGACACUUGGUGUUUGUGAGAAUACAAUUUUAGGUCAGUAAUUUCCUCUUUCUAUUUCUGUCUUUCUGGAGGACGUAGGUGACAAAGGAAAAAAACAAAAUCAAAGAAGAGGGCUUUGGCAUUUAAUUUUUUAGCUUCCUCUCCACAAAACACCCUUUCGUAAUUCCCCUUAUUACUUUUGUGGUGUUUCUGACUGGAAUGCAGUGUUGGUUUUUAUUUAUGUUGAAAUGCCUAAUAACAAUUAACUACUAUGAAUUUUUCUCUUUGUUUAUAUAUUGGUUUUUGAUGAUAUUUAGGGGUGGUUUGCUUUUUUUUUUUUAUGUUCAUAUUACUGUAGUUGUACUUUCUGCAUAGUUAGCCAAUAGAUAGGUGCAAUGCAUAUCAAGAAAUUUGUUUUUUUUGCUUAUUGUUGGUUCAUAAUGCAGAAUUUUGGUUUUUACAUUUCUGUGACAUUUGGGUGUUUAGUUGCCAAGAACUAUAACGUUGAUGCAUGUCAAAUUCUGAUGCGUAGACUAAAACCCAGUGUCAAGUCUACAUAGCACACAAGCACACUUCACCGGAUUCUCUGCCUAUAGUGUCUUAUUUGUUUUUUCUUUUACAUGUCUGUUUAUUUAUGAUCUGUAUUAGUUUCUCCUAUCUUUCUGUUUUUUGUUGUUGCAUCUUUCAGUAAAAGAUUGACAUUCUUUUUUGCAUUUCUUUUCUGUUAGGAAUCAGAUUAUGUUUUUAUUUUUUUGUUUCUUUUCCUCUUUUCUCAAGGAAUACUUUUGGUAGAGGAAUUAAAAGCUUCAUGAGGAUCAUGUGCUUGGACUUCAAUAUAGUCUCCUCCAAUUUUUGUUGCUCUUCUUAUUUUGUGUUUUUUCUUGGUGCUGGUAUAACUAAAAACUGUUUGUGCUCAGAUACAGGAGGUAGUAUUCAAACUCCGAAAGAGAGAAGAUUUAAAUUCGUAUAGGAGGGAUAGUGUUCAAGCUAUUUACCAGGUUAUUAUUUCAAAUCCUAUCUCUUUUUGUCAUCACACGUGCUCUUCCAAGUUUUAAAUUGUUUGUUAGGGUUUCUGAAUUUGGGUGUUUGAUUUCCGAAUUUUAAUCUUCUCUAUUUUGGCUAAUUUUGUCUUGGUUUCUCUCUGUCUCUUUCAUUCUUAUGUUUCAUUUUGUCAAGUAAACAUUUUCUCUAUGAUUUUCUUAUGUUUCAUUUCGGAAUUUUAACUAUGUUUAUAUAAGGAUGUUGAUACUUUCUUAUAUUCAUUCAUGUGACAGCAAAGGAAGAUCACAUUUAUUACAGUACAGCAUGAAGAGAAGGCUCAUAAUUUUUGCAUGUAUUUACUCCUAGAGCUCAGGCAUGCAACCAACAAUAUCAGUAGACUGCUUAAAAUUGGAGAAGGUGGAUUUGGGAAUGAAUGUUUAUAAAGGUUCAAUGAAGCCUUGCUGGUGCCAAGGGUGAUCCAAUCACGGUCUCUAUUAGAAUGCUUAACAAUGAUGGCUUACAGGUAUAUGUUUAAGCAUCUUCCUAUUAAUUGAAUUGUUAAACAAUGCCCUCAAGAGUUUUUUUCCUUAUUUUUUUCCAUUAUUAGUUUACGUGCUUCACACAUUUUUGUUGAUUUGUUCUCCUUGAAUAUAUAAGCUCAUAGUUAAACUACUAUAUGAAAUAUUGUUAAUUGAGUUGUGAGUUCUGGCCCUUAUCUCUUGACAUUUCUGUUCAGUCUCUUUCUAUGACAACUUUUUAAUUUUCUUUUAAAGUGAAUUUGAUGCUAUUCAGUGGAACAUUUCUUAUGAUUUUCUUAUUUGAGUAUGUGUAUAUAUUGCAAGAGAGAAUGCCUAGAGUAAGUGAUUUCUCUUAGCAUAUUUGUACAAACCUAUUUUCCAUAGUCAGUUUAGUUUAUCUUGGUUACCAAAACUGCUGUUGGAUACUCACUUUAAAUGUGGCAUGCUUCAACCAAUUUAGAUGUUGCGUGUAUCCCACCACCCGAAAGAUAAAGAAGUGGAGUCCUUAAGGAAGAAGUUUGCUGGAAUUCAAGCUGACAGGAAGGAGAGGGAAGAAGCUGAAGCAGUGAAGGUGGCUGCACAACUCAAGAAAACGGAAGUUUCAGGUUAGAAUUUCCUUACGUUGGCUGGUCCACAAGCUAAGCUCUUGUUUGUGGGCACUUAAACUUGAAAACAAUCCUGUAUCAUUUAUUAGUUAUUGCUAACAUAAAUAUACAUCUAUUCUAUAAUCCAUUUUUGUAACAGACAACAGUGGAAAGAAAAAGCAACUGGCCACAAUAAAUAUAUAUAUAUAUAUAUAUAUUUAUUCUAAUAAUCCAUUAAUGGUUUUCACUUCUGCUACAGCCUAUCUAUUCUCAAGCAGCUUGAGUCCUAAAAUUCUUGAAGGCUCGGUAGGAGAAGGUUUGUCAACACACGAGCAGAUGAAUGAAGUCAGGCACGAGUGA